GACGGAGGAUGCAAGCGAUAUCCGGAAUGAUUGGGCGUAAAGCGUUCGCAGGUGGCUGUUCAAGUCUGCUGUCAAAGACCGGGGCUUAACCCCAGAAAGGCAGUGGAAACUGGACGGCUGGAGUGCAGUAUGGGUAGAGGGAAUUCCCAGUGUAGCGGUGAAAUGCGUAGAGAUUGGGAAGAACACCGGUGGCGAAAGCGCUCUGCUGGACUGCAACUGACACUGAGGGACGAAAGCUAGGGGAGCGAAAGGG
This 253-nucleotide ribosomal RNA is filed under the name uncultured bacterium. RNAcentral describes it as "partial 16S ribosomal RNA". It matches the Rfam family "Bacterial small subunit ribosomal RNA", at positions 524 to 776 of the family's 1533-position model. The record is from RNAcentral.